GGGCCAGACUCACGCUGUUUGUUCCAGACCAGGACUCUGGCUGAGGAGAGCUGAUGGAGGAGCCAAGACUCUGGAGGAUGACAUCACUCCACCAACCAGGAUCCUCAGACAAAUUACGUUUGUAACCAGACCAGGAAUCUGGAGGACUGAUGGAGCAGCUGUACAUCUGGAAGGCAAAUCCUGAGGAUCACCAGGACUCUACCAUCAAGGAUGCCUCACACACCUGAGCUGAACCUCACCUGAUCCUGUGUGGUCGGGGGUAGACACACCUGAGCUAAACCCGCCCUGAUCCUGCCAGCCUGCUGGUCCCAUCUCCUCAGUUCAUCUGAGCCUCGUCCUCCAGAAGACCUGCUG
This 354-nucleotide long non-coding RNA is filed under the name Gadus morhua (Atlantic cod). RNAcentral describes it as "lncRNA (ENSGMOG00000026002.1)". Lineage: Eukaryota; Metazoa; Chordata; Actinopteri; Gadiformes; Gadidae. The record is from RNAcentral.